This 223-nucleotide unclassified non-coding RNA is filed under the name Hevea brasiliensis (rubber tree). The record is from RNAcentral. Lineage: Eukaryota; Viridiplantae; Streptophyta; Magnoliopsida; Malpighiales; Euphorbiaceae.
GUUGCAACCUCCUGGAUAAGUGUCGCUCCAGCAUUUUCAAUUGUAUCUGGAAGUUCUAUGGCUUGAGCUAUGGUAACACCAUCAUUAAUUAUUUUCAGCCCCCCAGCUUCAGAGAGAACUACGUUCCGGCCUCUAGGUCCUAAAGUGACAGAAACAGCAUCAGCAAGCUUAUUGAUACCAGAAAGUAAAGCUCUUCUGCAUUCUUUAUCAAAAGCUAUUCUCU